GGAAGUAAAAAUCGUAACAAGGUCUCCGUUGGUGAACCAGCGGAGGGAUCAUUACCGAGUUUACAGCUCCCAAACCCCAUGUGAACCUUACCAAACGUUGCUUCGGCGGGAUGCCCCGGGCGCGGGCCGCAAGGCCUCAGCCCCGGAACCAGGCGCCCGCCGGAGGCCCAAACCAAACUCUUGUUUUUGUAGAAUCUUCUGAGUGGCCUUUUAGGCAAAAAAUGAAUCAAAACUUUCAACAACGGAUCUCUUGGUUCUG
Molecule: unclassified non-coding RNA, 259 nt
Filed under: plant metagenome
Description: partial contains small subunit ribosomal RNA, internal transcribed spacer 1, and 5.8S ribosomal RNA
Rfam family: Eukaryotic small subunit ribosomal RNA (bases 1-54)
Source: RNAcentral